RNAcentral lists this ribosomal RNA (1258 nucleotides) under Leptocoris augur. RNAcentral describes it as "16S ribosomal RNA". The stretch from base 821 to 1189 matches the Rfam family "Archaeal large subunit ribosomal RNA", at positions 2153 to 2718 of the family's 2987-position model. The record is from RNAcentral. Lineage: Eukaryota; Metazoa; Arthropoda; Insecta; Hemiptera; Rhopalidae.
AAAUUGAUUUUUACUAUUUAAAUUAAUUUAUAAAUGUUAAGUUAAAAUAAUAUAUUUUUUAGUAACUUUUAUUGAAAUAAUAAAAUUAGUGAUAGUUUAUAGUACUGUAAAGGAGAAAUCUCAUUUUUAUUUAAGUAUAUUUUAUUUAUAGUACCUUUUGUAUCAGGGUUUAUUAAAUUUAAAUUAAGUAUUUAAUUUUCCCGAAAAUGAAAGAGUUAUAAUUUUAUGUUAGUUUAUGUGUCAUAAUAAUUGAUAAUAAAAUUAUAGAGGUUAUAUGCUAUUCAAUUUUAUAUAUCUGGUUUUUUGAUAAAUGAAUUUAAUUCAGAUGGUUUUUAGUUAUUAAAAAUUUUAAUUUUUAGUAAUUAAUUCUGUUAAUAUUAUUGAGGAUAAGCUCAUUAAUAUUUUUAUAAUUAAUUUAAAUUUAAGCUAUAGUAGGCUUAAUAACAGCCAUCAUUGAUUUCGUUAAAGUUUAAGCUUAAAUUAUUUUUAUUUUUUAUUAAUUUAAUUUUUUAUCAAUAUUUUUUAUUUAAUUAUUAUUUAGAAGUAAUAAUGAUAAAAUUAGUAAUUUUGUAUAUUUGAAUAUAAGAAUUCGGCAAAAUUAAUUUUCACCUGUUUAACAAAAACAUGUCCUGUUGUUUAUAAUAUCAGGUCUAGCCUGCUCAAUGAAUUAUUUUAAAUGGCCGCAGUAUUUUAACUGUGCAAAGGUAGCAUAAUAAUUUGUCUUUUAAUUGGAGGCUUGAAUGAAUGGUUGGAUGAAAUAUUAACUUUUUUUAUUUAAAUUAUUUGAAUUUAAUUUUUUAGUUAAAAAGCUAAAAUUUUUUUGUAAGACGAGAAGACCCUAUAGAAUUUUAUUUUUAAUUAUUAAUUAGUUAUUAAGAAUUUAUUAAGAUUUAUUAUUAGUUAAAAAUUUUGUUGGGGUGACAAUGAAAUUUUACUAACUUUCAUUAAAUAUAGAACAUUGAUGUAUGUUUUAAUGAUCCUGAAUUUUGGAUUACAAGAUUAAAUUACCUUAGGGAUAACAGCGUUAUUUUUUUGGAGAGUUCAUAUCGAUAAAAUAAGUUUGCGACCUCGAUGUUGGAUUAAAAUAAGUAUUAGGCGCAGGAGUUUAAUUACUAAGUCUGUUCGACUUUUAAAAUUUUACAUGAUCUGAGUUCAGACCGGCGUAAGCCAGGUUGGUUUCUAUCUACAAAUAAAUUUAAAUAAUUUAGUACGAAAGGACAAAUUAUUUAUAAAAUUUAUUUUUUUAAUGAUUAUUAUU